GCAUAACGCGAAGAACCUUACCAGGUCUUGACAUCCCUCUGACCGAUCCUUAACCGGAUCUUCUCUUCGGAGCAGAGGUGACAGGUGGUGCAUGGUUGUCGUCAGCUCGUGUCGUGAGAUGUUGGGUUAAGUCCCGCAACGAGCGCAACCCUUAUCUUUAGUAGCCAGCAGUUCGGCUGGGCACUCUAGAGAGACUGCCAGGGAUAACCUGGAGGAAGGUGGGGAUGACGUCAAAUCAUCAUGCCCCUUAUGAUCUGGGCUACACACGUGCUACAAUGGUGAUAACAAAGUGAAGCAGCCUCGUGAGAGUGAGCAAAUCACAAAAAGUCAUCUCAGUUCGGAUUGUAGUCUGCAACUCGACUACAUGAAGCUGGAAUCGCUAGUAAUCGCGAAUCAGAAUGUCGCGGUGAAUACGUUCCCGGGUCUUGUACACACCGAGGUC
RNAcentral lists this ribosomal RNA (442 nucleotides) under uncultured bacterium. RNAcentral describes it as "bacterial SSU rRNA". It matches the Rfam family "Bacterial small subunit ribosomal RNA", at positions 954 to 1398 of the family's 1533-position model. The record is from RNAcentral.